Molecule: ribosomal RNA, 253 nt
Filed under: uncultured bacterium
Lineage: Bacteria
Description: partial 16S ribosomal RNA
Rfam family: Bacterial small subunit ribosomal RNA
Source: RNAcentral
GACGAACCGUACGAACGUUAUUCGGAAUCACUGGGCUUAAAGGGUGCGUAGGCGGCGCUGAAAGUUGGGUGUGAAAUCCCUCGGCUCAACCGAGGAACUGCCCUCCAAACUGCUUGGCUUGAGUCCGGGAGAGGUGAGUGGAAUUCCCAGUGUAGCGGUGAAAUGCGUAGAUAUUGGGAGGAACACCAGUGGCGAAGGCGGCUCACUGGACCGGAACUGACGCUGAGGCGCGAAAGCGUGGGGAGCAAACGGG